CCUGACACACACCUCCCACCCUUCCUUUGUCCUCUGUCCCUCCCUGCAGGUGGAAGUGAACCCCUCGUUGGACAUGGCUGAGUCAGACUUCCAGAACAACGUGAUGCGUUGCCGCUGCAAGUACGAUGGAGGCCGCGUCUUCAUGUUUGGCUGCCACGCAGGUGAUGCAUACAGUCCAGAGGUGGAGGAUCUGUUUGAGCACCAGCGUCAGAUCACCAACAACUUCCUCUAACCAACYGAACAACAGAAUAACUAAUGGGGGARCUCCAUCCAACAGAACAACGAAUGAGAGACUUCAGAACAACCAAUCAACCAAUGGGAGUUCUCAGGGCAGAGCUUCGGAACCACAGCUCAUCUCAACUCACCCAAUCAGGGGAGAGGAGCUGGAGGAGAACCAGGAAGCCGGGGUUGGAAUGGACUGUGGGAGGGAGGGGGGAGGAAGGAAGAGGGGAGGGAAGGGGGGAAUUGUUUCUGAAAAGGUCAAAGAAAGAAUCACCUGAACGUCAAGCAAUCAUCGCACCUUCACCAUCGCUAACCAUAUCUCUGAGAGAGAGAGUAUAGACAGAGACGUAUACAGGACUUAUGGGUAGUUGUGACACGUUUCUCAGUUGGAAUCGGAACGUAUCAAGCUGUCACGUGUCAGGUGUCACCAUGGCAACGCGGAGUUAUUUACAGAUUUGAAAUGACGGAAAAACAACAAGGUAGUUCCCUAAGAUUCAGACAUACUAUGGUUAUGUAGCACAGGAGGCUGGUGGCAUCUUAAUUGGGGAGGAUGGGCUGAUAGUAAUGGCUGCAACGGAAUUAAAUGGAAUGGAAUCGAACACAUCAAACACGUGGUUUCCAUGUGUUUAAUAACAUUCCAUUCACUCCAUUCCAGCCACUAUUAUGAGCCGUCCUCCCCUCACCAGCCUCCUGUGAUACUUAGGAAGGUUACACUAAGGUACAUGAAUGAGUAUUACAUGUAUGUUCAUCAAAUCACAAACUGUGUAUAUUGUAUAAGAUGGUUGUYCCUAUUUAGUGACAAUGGGGCAAAGCUACCUUGUUUAAAGGUACACUCAGUAAGAUGGCAUUGUUAUACAUUUUCAUACAAAAAAUUAGGACCUAAGGCUCUUUACCAAAUGCGCCCUGUAUGAUACAACAUAAAUAUACACAUUAAACACAAAAUAUGUAUACACACAUUACAAUACAAGAACACAGUCAUGGGAAGCACAAAUAAAACAUCACAAAUCACCCAGAAAAACGGUUACAUUCAUCCACAAAUAAAACCCCAAUCAAUASUUUAAAUUGCCCGAACGGCACCAGAACAUCAAGAUGAAAUGUAUUUGGAAUUUUGUUCCAGCAAUACGGUGCAUUAAAAACGAAAAGCAGAUUUACCUAGCUUGCUGGAGACUCGAGGAACCUCAAGAGUUAACCAAGCCUGUGAACGGGUUAAGUAACUCAGGUGUUAGAUAAGACGGAAGUUUAUGAAGUAGGGCCUUGUAAACAACAAGGGUGUCUUCCUGCUUGCAGACAUUUUGAAUUCUGUUUAUAUCUGUGUAUGUGUAUGUUAUAUGGCUGAGUCUACCUUUAAGUUGUCUAUUGUCUUCUCAAUCUCAGUCAUGAUCUUAUAAGAUAGUAUAACAGACGCAUGGAAACGUAUGAAAUUGGAUUCGCAUUUAUUGUUGUCCGUUUUUGUCUGUCAAAAGUUCAACUCAAGUCAACUAUUUCUGGAGGAGUUUCAUACGCACAAAGGCCGUCAUCUUGUACGUUUUCUUUCUAUAGACAAUCAUCUCGGUUGUCCAUUUUCCAUCAACGGGAUGCCCUCCAUUGAAAAACCAUUGGCUCAAGCCAUAGUUUUCUCACGCAAACUUUCUGUCGGGCCACAGCCUUAGUAAUUGAUCAGGGCCCGGUUUCCCAAAAGCAUCUUGAGGCUAAGUUUAUCUUAGAACUGUAGGAUCCUUGAGAUGUUUUCAGGAAACCGGGCCUUGGUAGAUUCUCUCGUCCUCUUGCCUGUUGUCCAUCCAUCAUCAAAUCAGAUCACCUACUUCCUUUAAAAACUAWCCUUCAUGUGCUUUCAUAUAUCUACUUCACAAAUGCAGUAUUUAUGCAAUACAAAUGCAGUAUUCGCUGUAAAAAAAAAAAAAAAAYWGUGUUUUUUGUUAUAUGGAAAUUACAUUGACAAGUAUUUUUCAUGGUGCUAACGUUUAGCCUUUAAAAAAAAUCUAUAUUGUAAUGUUUUGCAAAUGUUGUUUAAUAUGACCUCUCUAGAGUAUUGUCCUGUAGGUUUGUAAUUUAUACUUUAAUAUUAUGUACUUUUGACUUAAAACGUUUUGUCCCUUUUGUAGUUGUGUUUUUCAUAAGGUUGCAAAAUUCUGGUAACUUUCCCACGAGUCCCAGGUUCUCCAGCAACCCCGGUUGGAAGAUUCCUGGAAUCAYGAAGUAAUAAGCAGGAAAUCUGGGAAAUAUAGGAAUCCUACAACCGGGAAUUUUGGAAAAGUUACCWGAUUUUUUUAUUUGUUUUUGCAACYCUAGUUUUGUAUUGUURAUGUUUUAUUACGAUAAAUCCUAUAGUUGCUGUCAUCAGUCUGUUUUAACACCAGUGAACCUCAUCAUACAGGUAGAUAUAUUGGGACCGUUGCACAUAGGGCUCUGGUUAAAAGUAGUGAACUAUGUUUUGGGAAUAGGGUGCCAUUUGGAAGGCACAGUGGUUGUACCUAAUAAGUAGUGCACCUGAUACUUGGCAAAGGUGGAGAACAAUAAACAUCAGAUUUCCAAACGAAA
Molecule: long non-coding RNA, 2760 nt
Organism: Salvelinus sp. IW2-2015
Lineage: Eukaryota; Metazoa; Chordata; Actinopteri; Salmoniformes; Salmonidae
Source: RefSeq, a predicted model, not a curated record